AAGAUUUAAUUUAUUUUUUUUUAUUUUUAUAUUAUUUAAGUUGUUAAAAAUUUUAUUUAAAAGUUUGUACAUUUUUGUUUUUAUUUUUUAAUAAUACUUUUGUAGUACCUUUUGUAUCAGGGUAAAUUUAAUGUUUAAUUUAUAUUAUUUUCCCGAAUUUAAGUUAUUUAGCCUUAAAUAUUUAUAUAUGUUUUAUAAUAUUUUUAUAUUUUAGGUUGGUAGUUAUAAGUUAAUCGACUUUAAUGUUAUCUGGUUAAUUUAGAUUAAAUUUAAUUUUUAUUUAUUUAUUUUUAUUUUAAUUUAAAAUUUUAAUUAUAUUUUAUAAGGGAUUAGCUUUAUAUUUUUAUAUUUAUUACAAUUUUUGAAGUUUAUUUUCUUUUAUAAUUUGUUAUUUAGUUUUUAAUAAUUUAAUUUUAGUUAAUUUUAUUUUUUUAUUAAUAUUUACUUAUAAAUUACAUAGAAUUAUUUUGUUUUCUUUUUUAUAAUGAUUUAAUUAGUAUAAUUUUAAUUUUAAUUAGAAUUAACUCGACAACUAUUAUUUUCAACUGUUUAUCAAAAACAUUUCUUUUAGUUUUUAUUAAAAGUAAGUUCUGCCCAAUGAUUAGUUUAAUGGCUGCAGUAUUUUGACUGUACAAAGGUAGCAUAAUAAUUUGUUUCUUAAUUGGGGACUUGUAUGAAAGAAUAAAUGAGAAAUAAUUUUUAUUUGAUUAAUUUUUAGAAUUUUAAUUUUAGUAAAAAUUCUAAAUUUUUUAUUUGGGACGAAAAGACCCUAUAGAACUUUUCAUAUUUAAAUAUGUUUUAUUGGGGUGAUAGUUAAAUUUAAACUUUAAUUUCUUAUUUCAAUUAUAAUUGACUUUAAAUAUUUUUAUUUUACAAGUUAAAGUUACCUUAGGGAUAACAGCGUAAUUUAAGUGGGGAGUUCAUAUCUAUACUUAAGUUUGCGACCUCGAUGUUGAAUUAAGAUAAAAAAUUGGGGUAGAUUUUAUUUUUUUAAGUCUGUUCGACUUUUAAAUUCUUACAUGAUUUGAGUUCAAACCGGUGUAAGCCAGGUUGGUUUCUAUCUUGAUUUAUUAAAGUAAUUUAGUACGAAAGGACCAUUUAUUUUAUUUUUAAUAUUAAUUUUU
Molecule: ribosomal RNA, 1124 nt
Filed under: Trifida elongata
Lineage: Eukaryota; Metazoa; Arthropoda; Insecta; Hemiptera; Cicadellidae
Description: 16S ribosomal RNA
Source: RNAcentral